Non-coding RNA from Myotis davidii, 75 nucleotides. Lineage: Eukaryota; Metazoa; Chordata; Mammalia; Chiroptera; Vespertilionidae. The record is from Rfam.
GGUGGUUCUCAGGUGAUGCACCCCAGAAUCCAGCUCCCUCCUCUCUGGUUCCGGGUUCGUCACCUGAGAACCACA